Long non-coding RNA from Sapajus apella (tufted capuchin), 158 nucleotides. RefSeq lists it as uncharacterized. The transcript has 3 exons. Lineage: Eukaryota; Metazoa; Chordata; Mammalia; Primates; Cebidae. The record is from RefSeq and is a predicted model, not a curated record.
CAGUGCUGCCUCUGAUCUAAAAGGAGGUGGAGCUCAGGCAGUAAUGCACUGUAAGUGAUUGGGGAGCAACUGUAAAUACAGAUGAAGCUUCACUUGCUCCCCUGCUGCUCACCUUCUGGUGUGCAGCUUGGUUCCUAACAGGCCAGGAACCAGGAGCA